GGAAUAUUGGGCGUAAAGAGCUCGUAGGCGGUUUGUCGCGUCUGCCGUGAAAGUCCGGGGCUCAACUCCGGAUCUGCGGUGGGUACGGGCAGACUAGAGUGAUGUAGGGGAGACUGGAAUUCCUGGUGUAGCGGUGAAAUGCGCAGAUAUCAGGAGGAACACCGAUGGCGAAGGCAGGUCUCUGGGCAUUAACUGACGCUGAGGAGCGAAAGCAUGGGGAGCGAACAGGAUUAGAUACCCCGG
This 243-nucleotide ribosomal RNA is filed under the name uncultured Pseudarthrobacter sp. RNAcentral's name for it is "partial 16S ribosomal RNA". It matches the Rfam family "Bacterial small subunit ribosomal RNA", at positions 552 to 790 of the family's 1533-position model. Lineage: Bacteria; Bacillati; Actinomycetota; Actinomycetes; Micrococcales; Micrococcaceae. The record is from RNAcentral.